This 621-nucleotide ribosomal RNA is filed under the name uncultured Actinomycetes bacterium. RNAcentral describes it as "bacterial SSU rRNA". It matches the Rfam family "Bacterial small subunit ribosomal RNA", at positions 557 to 1174 of the family's 1533-position model. The record is from RNAcentral. Lineage: Bacteria; Bacillati; Actinomycetota; Actinomycetes.
GGCGUAAAGGGCUCGUAGGUGGUUGAUCGCGUCGGAAGUGUAAUCUUGGGGCUUAACCCUGAGCGUGCUUUCGAUACGGGUUGACUUGAGGAAGGUAGGGGAGAAUGGAAUUCCUGGUGGAGCGGUGGAAUGCGCAGAUAUCAGGAGGAACACCAGUGGCGAAGGCGGUUCUCUGGGCCUUUCCUGACGCUGAGGAGCGAAAGCGUGGGGAGCGAACAGGCUUAGAUACCCUGGUAGUCCACGCUGUAAACGGUGGGUACUAGGUGUGGGGUCCAUUCCACGGGUUCCGUGCCGUAGCUAACGCUUUAAGUACCCCGCCUGGGGAGUACGGCCGCAAGGCUAAAACUCAAAGGAAUUGACGGGGCCCCGCACAAGCGGCGGAGCAUGCGGAUUAAUUCGAUGCAACGCGUAGAACCUUACCUGGGUUUGACAUGGAUCGGGAGCGCUCAGAGAUGGGUGUGCCUCUUUUGGGGUCGGUUCACAGGUGGUGCAUGGCUGUCGUCUGCUCGUGUCGUGAGAUGUUGGGUUAAGUCCCGCAACGAGCGCAACCCUUGUUCACUGUUGCCAGCACGUUAUGGUGGGGACUCAGUGGAGACCGCCGGGGUCAACUCGGAGGAAGGU